Long non-coding RNA from Canis lupus familiaris (dog), 1805 nucleotides. RefSeq lists it as uncharacterized. NCBI's taxonomy places the organism in Eukaryota, Metazoa, Chordata, Mammalia, Carnivora, Canidae. The transcript is spliced from 8 exons. The record is from RefSeq and is a predicted model, not a curated record.
CACCUGUUCCCUUGGAGAUGGAAGGACAGUGGAAUUAACAGGUGGCCUGUGAAAUGACCUGGUGAGGGACAGUUACCACCUUACACUCUAUCUUGGUUGCGGUCUAGGGCAGGCCCAGCCCCAACACCCUAAUGCCUCUGCAGUCUCCCAUAUAGUUUAUCCGGCCAAGGGCUUAGAGAUUCAUCUGGGACUCUGGAACCUUUUAGGGAACAAAGCUUAGCUGCUUCUUCACUUUCACCCACCGAAUGAAGGCUCGGAGGGGCAAUCACCGUGCCUAAGGCCAUUUGGCUGGUUCAUGGGUGACCGUCCUCAGGUGAUGAUGCAGGAACCCAGGCUCCUUCCAGCUUGUGGCUCUGCGGUCUCCUAGGCCCUUGAAGAUCUCUGCACUGAAGAGAACCAAGAGGAGUGAUGGAAAGAGAAGACAAAGUUUCAUCCAUGUUCAUGCUCCAAACAAACAUCUAUCGAUUUCCUGGAUGCCCAUUUUUCAUCUGGAGGAAGGGUCUCACUGUCACCCAGGAGGCAUGUGGUCACAUCCAUUCUGCAUCGGAUGCUUUGUACCAAGAGACAAUUUACAUGUUCAUCUGGAUAAACACAUAAUUUGAAAGCUGAAGCUUCUGUAUAAACAUCAUAACUUCAUUUUCAGGUCAUUCGUCUUUGUCAUUCAGAGGAUAAAGAUGCUGAAGAAGAAAGGAGCAAAAUGCCUGAUGCCUCAGGAUUUGUGGACUCUUCCAUGUGAAGCCUGGAAGGGGCUUUGCAGAUUAGGAUCAGCAUUUAGAGUGACCUCACCACGUAUGUAUGUGGAAUUAGGACGAAGGUGUGUAGGAUGCUGAAUUAACUGGACCAAGGUUAAAAAUCCCAGCGUGGCCUCUUACAAACUGCUUGACUCUGGGAAAAUUCCUUAUACCUUCCAAUCCUUAGGUCCUUCAUCUGAAAAAUGGGAUGCUACCACGCCUGUCUCAUGGAGCUGCUGUUAGCUAAAAUGAAACAAAGGAGGAAAAAGCCCUUUGCACAGUCUGGAGCAUUACCAGAGUCCUGGAAUAUUUCCAGCAAAUGUUGGUUCAUGUCCUCUUCACAUGCAAAGGGAAAGCGACUUGUCACAAAAGCCGGGUCCCCUUGAGCAGGCCUACAGGGCAAGCUUUGUUUGGGUUGAGGCUGCCAGGACUCAAACGGCACCCUGACUCUGAAAAUGAUUAUUCAGAGUGCUGCAUUUUUGCCUCUGUGAAGCCAAUAUCCUGACUAUGUUGGUGUUAGGAGCCUAACCUGUGAUUUCGCUUUCUUGUGGUUGGGAGAUGGACUGGACGGUCCCUGACAGACCCAUGGGGAGCUGUCCAAACAAAGUUGAGAGAGUGGACUGUGAUCCAUGGGCAGUAUCUCUGUGCUCCUGUGCCAACAGCAGUAAUGAUCGAUCAGUCAAUCAGCAAACCAAAAAAUAAAAUCAUGGAUGUUUUCUACAUGCCGGACACUGUGAGUCACCCCGCUGUCAGCGGUGCCUGGAAGCUGUCUGUGCAAAGCAGAAUUUUGUCCCUAUGUCUUCCCGAUUCCCAGGCAAGCUGGCUGUGAAAGCAUUCAUGGAUGCUGGGACAUCGCUGCAAGAAGCUGAGGCUACUGCUGCUCAUCUCCAGGGCAGGGAAUGGGCAGCCUCUCCUCCAGCCUGGGCCUCCUGGACACCCUUACUUUCUUCCAGCACGAGAGCCUGGGUUCCGCUCCUUCCUCCCGAAGGGACUUAAAGAAGAAAUCACACAGGGGAAGGCCUCAGCUGUGGGAGGCUGGAGCAGCAAAGCCAAUAAACCCAGCUUUAUUUGUAA